GCGCCGGCGCGCGUGUGUGUGUGUGUGUGUGUGUGUGUGUGUGUGUGUGUGUGUGUGUGUGUGUGUGUGGUGUAGGUCCACAUAGGUUUAUGUGUAUGCUUCGUGUUGAUCUCAGGUGUCUUCCUUAGUAACUCUCCACCUUAUAUAAUGAGGCAGGGUCUCUCACAGAAUUUAAAACUCACUGUUUUGGUUAGUUUGGCUGGCCAGCUUGGACUGGGGAUUCCCUGUCUCUGCCUCUGGUGGAUUGGGCUCCACCAUUCCACCUAGCUUUUAUGUCACUUCCGGGGGUUUGAACUCUGAUCUUUGCACCUGUGGAGCAAAGGCUUCAGUUACUGAGUUAUCACAGUACUUUUGAGCCUUCAACUUUCCGUUAAGCUGGAGUAGAUGGAAACUGCCUGGUUGGACUUCUUGGAAUUUUAAGCAUAAUGUAUGUAAAGUAUCUACCAAUUACAGAUGCCUAAUGAAUGCUAGCUCCCUUGAGGGCAGCCGUGUCAUGUAAUACAUUAUGCAUGGCUUAGUUAGAUCUAUUUUAUCCUCUCGAAUUGCUUCAAAGUAUUGCUAUACAUACCACAGUAUAUAUGUUUUAGGGAAAGUUAACUUAUUAUUAUACAUAUAGGCAUGAUUCACAAAUAACUUUAUGAAGAAAGGUUUCAGCUAUACAAAAAGAACCAUACCUGAACAAACGCGUACCAUGCAAACACAUUACAGGUACCAGAGGAUGGAGAGUGUAUAGGAGGAUCCAACAGAGAUUAAUUUGAGCUUGUAUUUUUCCCUAUCUGGAUGACCAGCAGUAAAUUUGAGUCCUGGAAGGUGAAACUUCUUGGAAGGGACAGGUGUAGCUGUCCCCUACAGAGACGCGUUGAAAGGGCACAUUGCCUUUAAGUUGUGAGCCUGGCUUCUUUUAGAAGAGAACCUGAUGUGCUGUGUAAGGCAGAUCACCUCUAUUUCACAUUUCAGGAGAAAAUUCCACUUUCUACUUUGGAUUUUGGUAUUUGUAGAAUUUUUUUUCUUUUUAAGAGGAGAAUAUGAAGCGCUCUAAACACAAAGGGAAAGUUAAGAAUGUAUAUUCAUAAAAGGACGCAGCAUUUGAAACGAGAAGCCAUGGAGAAGAGAGAUUCUGGCAAUUCCUAGAGCUGGCAGAGGGCUCCUGUUUGAGGAUGUGAAAAUAUCCCCCUACAAACCUAGCCACGAGAGAAGCAGGCAGUUGAAAUGCAGGAGGAAUUCAAAUGACUGAAAACAAUGGAUGGUAUGGUAAUUAGCAAUCAGAAAAAUAAACUGUAAAGCACAACGAAGCAUCAUUAUGCAUUUUCUACUAGGGCAAACACUAAAUAGACUGAUAAUAGCUGACAACAGAGCAGGGCAGCGCUCCAGACACAGUGGGAGGGAGGACGGUUGGUAAACUAUUUAUGCGAUCCACUAAAGUUGGUGAUAUCCUUACAGACUAGUCAGAGACUCACAUCAGAGGAGUAGAUUCAACAGAAUAUUCAUUUCUAUUCUUAAUAGCCUUGAUCUGGAAACAGUCCAAACGUCCAAGUGAAUAGCUUUCUAAUUCUAUAUCGCUCUGGGCCUUCAUGAAAAUGAUCAUACUGUAGUUGCUUCGAGCGCCAUUGACAUUAUUCAUAUAAAAAGUAUUAGCAGAAAAGCUUGAUAUUAUUCUAAUUACCUAAAAAAGGGUGUGUGUGUGUGUGUGUGUGUGUGUGAGUGUGUGUGUGUGUGUGUGUGUGUGUGUGUGUUAACUUCUGUUUUUAAAAGAUGAACAUUUAAGCAGCAAAAUCAUGAAGAAAGGAGGCCAUGAUCAUAAACACUGCCAUCUGCUGGAGUUUUAUUGUGCUGUCAGGACAGCUGAUCACGGUAUCAAAACCUACCUUGGUUAAUAGUCUAAAAUCAGCAGUAGGUAAAGUAUUCACAUGGUAGAAUUGAAAAAGUCUACAAAAUUCAAGGCUUCCCACUCUCAAGAGAGAGGCAUUAACUGUACCCUAGCAUAUGACUGAAAGGCACAGGGCUUUCCACUUGUCCUAGGUGGACAGAGGAAGAGAACUAUUAGGAACUGCUAUAUUUUGGGUCUUUUUAGAUGCCGGAAAUUGUUGAGGUUAUCAGCAGAAACUUUAGGCGUAUAGACUUUUUGUUAUGUUAUAUAUAGCACAGUUUUCUGGUUCUUCAAAGAACUAAAGCACAUGUAGUAAGACAAGAAAAAAAUAACAGGAAAGGGAGAAUCAUCAGACACACCUUAUCUGCCUGCUUGCUCUGUAGCAUGGGUCUUUGCAGGGAAAGGACGAGUUUAGUUCUGUGAGGGGACUUGUGAGGCAAAACAUGCUGGACGGAUUGUGAGGUGGCAUUCCUGGAGUGAGCUGCAUGUUGAAAAGAGUUUGCGUAAGUUGGGGAAGAUAGGGAAAAGGCAUACAUCAAAGCUCUAGCACUGAGGGAGGGAGCUGAGUCUUGGCUGAAUACAGGGAUCUGGACAAAAGUGGGAGGACCCCAAGAUAGACCAGAAUCUUCAGGCUGUGCAGGAAUAGUUUUCAAGGGUGACAAAGGUGACAGCAGGAAGCAAGGACAAUGACAAGCAGAUCUGAUCUACUUACUGUCUCACAUAGAUGUGAGAACAAGACCGACUGGAUGGGGUAGCUCUGGAAAGGAGGUUUAGAAUGACUGGGAGGGUCAGACAGAUUUCCAUACUAAAACAGUCCUCCCGAGGUUCAUCGAGAGAAAAUAGUUUGUGACCCCAAAUAUCACCUCUGAGUUUUCAUUUUAAUUAUAAAGGUAAAAAUAUAUAUUUAAACUGUAGAAACCUGGUGGUGUCCACAUCAACCAUGUGGUCAAAGGCAGGCAGCAUCACUUCCAAUGAGAACAGUAACUCGGUGACCUCCUGGUGUGACAUCAAAGUAUGUAAGAUGUCUGUCUGUAAAGUAUUCUUGGCAAAUAAGUCUACUUUCUGUUUUCUCUCCUUCCUUCUUUCCUUUCUCUCUCUCUCUCUCUUUUUUUUUUGUGGCCCUAGGCUUUGAACACAAGGUUUUGUGUAUAUGACACAUGCAGUCUACCACUGAGGAAUAGCCCCAUCUUUAUCAAAUAUGUUUAACCCGAGUGUGUCUAACUGUCAGUUUAUAGGAUGUGUAGAAACUAGAAGAUUUGACCAAGACAUUGGGUGACAAUCACGUGAGUUUAGAAUGUGAGGCAGUCAACAAGACAGUUGGCCUGCAACUUUUGAAAGCCCGAUUUCAUGAGAAUUAAGAGUGUCCUGUCGAAGCAGCUGUUGUCCAAAAGGCCAAAGAUCUGUGACAGUCAGACGCACUGCAUUCGAAAAUAAAAAGUCACAAAAAUGAAUUCGGAAACUAUUAUGAAAUUUAACUUGGACUAAACGUUAGAUGGCAUUGGGGUUCUUGUUGCUUCCUUAUUUAUGGUAACAGUGCAGCAUCACAGAAGAUAGGUAUCAUUACUCUUGGGAGAUAGAUGCUAAAGACCGCAGACGUGAAGUGCUUUGAUUAAUAUGGCUUCAGAAAGACAUCUAUACAGAGACGGAGGAAGAAAACAGCAAGCUGUCGAUAACUGUAAGUAUGGUGGGUGUAUAGAUGUUCACUUCCUUUUUUUUUUUUUUUUAAUUCUUUUUUUCAGAGCUGGGGACCGAACCCAGGGCCUUGCGCUUGCUAGGCAAGUGCUCUACCACUGAGCUAAAUCCCCAACCCCAGAUGUUCACUUCCUUAUUCUUUCUGUCUUUAUGGAUGCUCAGCAACUUCAUAAUUAGAAAUAGAGGGGCUGGAAAGAUGGCUCAGAGGAAGAGCACUGGAUGCUCUUCCAGACAACCUGGGUUUGAUUCCUCACACCCACAUGGCCGUUCACAAACCAUCUGUAACUCCGGUUCCAGUCGAUCUAACAUAUUUUUUUUUGUAUUCCAUAGACAGCAUGUGUAAAUGUGGUACAUAGAUGUACAUGCAGGCAAAAUAUCCAGACACAUAUAAACAAAGAAAAGAAAUAGAGGGAGCAAGAUGACUCAGGGGGAAGUCAAAGAAUUCCCUGGAAAAACCGAGCUAUGACAAUUCUGCCUGUGGACCAGCAGUUGGUGAUCUGAAAAAUAGCUCGUGAGUCUUGUUCACCGAGAGUACCCAUUGUGAAGCAGAGCCAUGUGUCAACCCCACCGAGCGGUCACAGGCAGGGCUGCUUGCUUUUAUAUGGGUGGCACUCCUAUUAACAGACCGUCUUUUCGGAUGGUGGGGCAGGGGACAGAUUUCUAGACAAUCGGGGGUGACUACCAGACUCCCAUUUGCAGACACUGUUUUCCAGGAGAGCUGGAAGGUGCAGACUGUUCCCACUGUCUGCAUUACGAAUAGCUUGACUUGUUUAAUUCAGGAUUGGACUGUCUAGAUUUUGGCAUGUUUGUCAGCGGCUGCAGAGAGCCAUGAGCAUGUGCCUGCUGCUGGGGUGCUGGCUGCAGACAGCUGUCAGGUGGGGCUCCUCUGUAGACAGAGGCUCCAGGUGACUGCUCUCCAUUUGACAGCCUGCAUGGGGUCCAGUUCUGUCUUAAUCUGGCUUCCCAGAUCCUUCCGGUGGUGACAGAGGAUGAGCUUUAGUUAUUCCGUGAUCCUCUUUAAAUAGUUGUACAAACCAUACCUCUCACAUACCCCCUUAAUAUCCCUAGCUUCCUGCACGUCUCAACAAAUGAUUAUAAAUCAAGAAAUUUAGGAAUCAUGAGCCUAGUCCAACCUGCAAGCCUUUGUAUCUGACAGAGAAAUUGAGAAUGGGUUAGGAAAGAGAUCAGACUGGUUUUUUUUUUUUAAUUUUUUUGAAGUGUCUGUAUAACACGAUAGAGCUGACCUGCUUUUCGUCCACUGCAGACUGAGCUAAUGGCCCAGUAAAAUUGAUUGAAUAAAACUGAACCACCAGGAGCUUCCACCAUUAGCAUAGAAGCCCGGAGAGCAGAGACAACUCUGAUUGAAAGCUUACAACAGGACACUGAAAACCAGUUUUAGUCUUUAGAAUCCCAUGAGAUGUGAUACAACAGUUGUCCUCUUUUGCUUAGGCUAGAUAUGAACUCUGAGGAAAAGAAGUUAUUGAAACUAUUGACAAUGUUAGCCAUAGUAGCUCAUGUCUGUAAUCCCAGCACUUAGAGAAAGUGAGGCGGAAUGAUUACUGUAAGUUUGGGACUAGCCAGAGUUGCAGAGUAAGACCCUUGGCUCAAAAACAAUGGAAGGGAAAACAAAAAGAAAAACAAAACAGUAUCGUGUUUGCACACACACUCACAUACAUACACGUGCACAUAUGUGUGCACAUGUGUUUGUGCCUGUGUGUAUUAACAUACCGUAUCCCUCCAUCCACUCAUCCUCCAUACCUACCUAGCUCAGAUACUUAGUUGUUUAGCAAAAUGGAUCCCUUGGCAGAACUGACAUAAGGACCCCAGAGAUCAGUUUUCUUUGUGAAAUGGGGAAAACACUUUGUAGAAUAUAAAUAAGCAAUGUAGGCCAGGUGUGGUGGUGUACACCUUUAAAUUCAGCAGAGGCAGGCAGAUCUCUGUGAGUUUGGUUUGAGGGCAGCCUGGACUACAUAUGGAGUUCCAGGACUGCCAGGGCUAUAUAGAGACACUUGUCUCAAAAAACCAAAAUGAAUGAAUGAAUGAAUGAGGCAUGUCAGAGUUUUUAAAGUAAACUUGAGUUUAGAGUGUGAGGGUGUGAGCAGAGAUAACCAUAAGCAAGGACAUUUAGAUCAUGUUGGGGAGGCUCUAAGCCUCCAGAUGCAUAUGGAAGAACCCAUUGGGUCCCUAGGCUGCCUCUCUUACAAGGUGGAAUGGCUGUGGGUAGUGUGACUUGCUGCUCUGAAUCUCUAGUCUCUCAGUCAGUGAUGGGGGGACCUUCCAUGGUGACCCUCCUGUAGCUUCUUCCCAUGACUAAGUGAGCUUUUAUGACAUGCCUGAAUUGUCCUGUAGGAACAACUGUUGCAUUUUUUUUACAUUGUCUGCUGCUAUUAGAUUAGAGGCUCACAGGGGACUUAAUUGGACAUAUCACAAAGGGAAGACCACCUCAAUGACUAAAGGCCUCUGGGCCAUGGUCCCCCAAAUACCUUUCAGCUCAGAUAAAAUUUCAAGUUGAAGGUCUCAUGGAUCUUUGACUCAGUCUUGUGUCAUCUUGUUGCUGUUUGGGUCAAGGACUAUCUUCAUUUGUUCGUUCAUUUAAUUCAUCCCCCAUCUGAUUUGGUUUCAUUCAUAGUUUAUUUGCUUAGUCACUCAUCUUUGGGGAAAAGGGGGAUGGGCUCACACUGAUGAAGCACAACUGCACUCUGUUUCUAGGGUCGAGUUUGAGACGUAAGACCUUGGCGUCAUCUUCAGCUUCCCCGUUUUACUGGUUAGCAGCUCUUCUCACUCCCCGUUGUCAUUCCAGAGGAUCCAUCCAUACUUAGCACACACUGCAACCCUUUCAGCUCAGUAGUGAGUCUUAUCUGUUUCCCACACUGACUUUCUCUACUGUUUGCCCUCUUGAGUCAUCUUGAGCUCUAGCCUAGAUCAUUUGUCUCUCUUUACUUACCACACAGUGGGGUGUGCUUCAGCCCCAUGAGUCCUACCACUGCUUUCCAGAGUCUGCUGUGUCUGUAUGCUCUUAUGAUUAAAAAAAAAAACCCAGGUUAUGCCUUUUUGGUCAAAUCUCCCCCCUACCUUGACAUCCCAUUUGUCCUUCACAAUUGAGAUGUUUGAUUUUAAAUCUCACCCUUCCCGAGAAACCCACCCAGUUUCCUCCAGCUUGGCUCUGUAGCUAUUUGCAAACUUGAAUGAACAUUAAAAGCGUACUUGACACUCAAGUGGUGCUUAGCAAAGUCUGGUUUACAUGGUAACAUGUGUUAAUGCUGUUCACUGGGGGAAUUUGCCAGGGGGCCUGAGCUGAAAUAUACAUUUAUUUCUUCAUUCAGUGUUGGGCCCUCAGUCGGGUCCUAAGAACAUGUCCUUAGAGAUGGGUCUCUAAGGACUGGCUUGAGAGGGAUGGGGACAAAUAGAGAAAUGUAGCAGUAGGGUAGAGAAUACCAUUAAGGUCUGAAGGCUGGGAAUGCAAGGAGAGGUCAUUGGAGUCGGUGAGAGAAUGCCUCACAGAAGCGGAAGUGUUCGAGAUGUAGCUCGAAGGGCACAGAGCCUCCAUUCUUAAUAAUUCUAAGUGACAUUCUUUUUUUUUUGUUUCCCCACAUCUUAAAGCCAAGAUGUAUGACAAUGUUUCUCUCCAACCCCUGAGCUUGGAAGUGAAGACACCACUACACCUGGCUUGAUACCAUUUAUUCUGUUUUUGUUGUUGUUGUUGUUUGUUUUUUGUUCUUAUUUUUGUUUUUUUUUUUGGUUUUUUGUUUUUUACAAUUAAAAAAAUAUACAUUUGGUGUUUGGUCUAUAUAUAUUAGGGAGUCAGAUCCACUGGAACUUGAGUUACAGACAAUUGCAAGCUGCCAUGUGGGUGCUGAGAACUGAACCCAUAUCCUCUGGAAGAACAGCCAAUGCUCUUAACUGCUGAGUCAUCUCUUUAGCCUCAAUACCAUAUAUUCUUAACAAAACUCAGGAAGCUGAGGCAGGAGGAUCAUGAGUUUGAGGCCAGCCUGGGAUAGAACAUAUCACAAAGACAAAGAAAACCAUACAAGAGUAAGUAAGAUUCCUGAGCUGCACUAUACCGCUUCACUUUUAAUAAUGCUGGGUGUUGGGUGGUGAUGUGUUCAUUCCCAGCUGCUGCUUUGAGAAAUCACCAUGAUGUUCUCUUAUGGUUCUUCAGGCCAUAAAUUCAGAUGUGUCUUAAGAAGCGGAAACCAAGAUGGCAGCAGGUCUGAUUCUUUCUAGGGAUUCUUGGGGAGGAAUCUAGAUCUUGUCUUUUCCAGCUGCCAGAGGUCCCUCUGCAUUCCUUGGCUUCAGGUCCUUCCUCCAAUUUACUUCAGUUGUCCUUGGCACGCUGAUUCUGACCCUUUUGCUUCCAAUCAGAUGCACCUGAAUAAUCCAGGUGCAUUUUCCCACCUCAGGAUAUUUACCCUGGCAAAACAAGCUAAUAGCCAAAAGUUCUGGGGAUCAGGACAGGGGUAUCCUUGGGGACAUUGUUCAGGGUACAACAGAAGUAUUUAUUUUGAGGAUGCUGGUAUGUUUUUUGAGCCUAAAUGUGAGAUUAUAGCUACAUCUCAGGAAGAAUCUAGAAUCUUUUUUGUUCCUACAUCUGUUCUUGCCUUGUGAUUAUAUUUCUCUCUCUUGUUCUUGGCAGACUGAUUCCCUCUGCCACCCAGCCAACAUGCAGAAACACGAUCCCUGACAACCUCAGGGUAUGGGCUGUACUUUUUCUUAAUUAAUUAAUUAAUUAGUUAAUUAAUCAAUCACAUUUUUCUUUUAUUGGAUUUUUAAGUUUACAUUUCAAAAGUAAUCCCCUCUCCCGGUUUCCCGGUCAGAAACCCAUUAUCUCCCUCUGCUUCUAUGAGGGUGCUCCUCCACCCACCUAUCCACUUCCUCCUGCCUCCCUGCCCUGAUAUUCUCCUACUGUGGGGCAUUAAACCUUGACAGGACCAAGGGCCUCUCCUCCCAUUGAUGCCCAAUAAGGCUAUUCUUUGCUACAUAUGUGGCUGGAGCCAUAGGUCCAUCUCUGUGUACUCUUGAGAUGGUGGUUUAGUCCCUGGGAGCUCUAGGGGGGUCUGGUUGGUUGAUAUUGUUGUUCUUCUUAUGGGGUUGUAAGCUUCUUCCCCAGCUUGCCUCUUUGUACCAUAAUAUAGGAAGAUGUCAUACAGCUGAAGGAAAGUACAAGAUAGAAUGAGGCCUGUCAUUGGAUGAGAAGGAAGGAUGGGCGGGACAAAAGUUUGAGGGAAGAGGAGGAGAUUGGAACGGAAGGAGACCGGAGAAGAAGCCCCCAAGAGAACAUGGAGGCGGAUGUUAAGAUUCCUCUUUAUACAUUUACAGGUUGUUAUGAAUAUUCUUAAGGGAUGGAUGUGUACAGGGCUUUGUAUGUUGAGGUUGGCAAUUGUAUCUUAUCAAUUGGAUCAGAGGUUAUUGUAUUGUGGGUUCUUUCUCGUGGCGAAUUAAGUUUAAGAAAGUAUGUGGCAGCUGGGACACUAAGCUGCCAUGGAAUUGGGAUGUAUGUUUCUGGCAUGGUGGCAACCUGCCUUGGGAACUGGGUGGGUAGAGAGAUUGUUGCCAGGCUCAGAUAUGUGAUAUGGGUUAGAGCAAAGCGGGUAAGAUGCUUUGCUGACUGAGAUUAAGAUGUCCACCAGAUAUCUUGGGGCACUGUGGUGCUGGAUCUAGUGUGGGGUAAAAGAAAGAUUUUUUUUAAUAAUUUUACAGUAACACCAUCUCUAGUCCAAAUUCCCAAGAGAAGAACUAAUCAACACGUUUAUUGCUACUACCAUGAUCAUCAUUAUUACUUACUGUCUUUUGAUCUCAUAAAGUAACCCAGACCGGCCUUGAACAAUUUUCCUGACUCUAUUUCCCCAGUGCUGGGAUCACAGAUGUGCUCCACCAUGGCUAACUGACUGGCACUCCUAGAUCAUCAACACUUUCAAUCCGAGAAUGCAGCCAAAAGAGUAGCUUCAGCCAGAGCAUAGAGCUGUUCUCCACGGCACAAAUGCUACCAGGAACCGAGCAUUCUGGGUAUAGUUUCUUGUGUCUAUACUGAAGUAUGGUCUCUACACAGAAAGACUUAGCUCACCAGGAAGUGAAGAAGGUGCUGUUUCAGAUAGAGGGUAGUGGCACGUAGUGUUUGUCAGACAGCAGGCAUUCAAGGAACAUGUAUUGAAUUGAGUUGGGAAGUGUCCUUUUACUUUUUAAAAAAUAUUUAUUUAUUUUAUAUAUGUGAGUACACCAUUGUUGUCUUCAGACACACCAGAAGAGGGUGUGAGAACCCAUUACAGAUGGUUGUGAGUCACCAUGUGGUUGCUGGGAUUGAACUCAGGAUCUCUGGAAGAACAGUCAAUGCUCUUAACUGCUGAGCCUUCUCUCCAGCCCUUCCUUUCACUUUUGCCCUGAAGGGAGAUGCCCAAUGAAUUCCACUGCACCUCUCUUUCUAUGCUGCCACAUGCCACAUGCCACAUGCCACAUGCCACAUGCCACAUGCCACAUGCCACAUGCCACAGGCUCUGUCUAGAAUUCUUUAACUACUUUCUUCCUGACGUAGGAUAAAGUCCAGCCUCUAGCCUGGCACUGGUGUAUGGAGUGAUGACUCUCCUCUCUUCUAUCUGGCUCAGAGAAUUAUAACUCCACCAUCACAGAAGUAUUGAAAGGAUCACAUGAACUGAAGGGGACAUUGUACUCAACAGCGCCUCUCAGUGGCAAGUCCUCCGCACAGGGCAGUGUGGCUCCUACUCCCCUGGCAUUUUGGCAGGGUUUCUCAUGGUAGGGACUUGUUUUGCCUGGGACUCUAGUUUGGGAAUACCUGCUUCUACCCGUCAUCUUUAGUCCUACUUAUUCCUUUAUCUUCUGUUAGGCUAGGGGGUUUGUCCUUUCUUCUUAAUUCUAAAGACUUUCGAGUCCUGUUCUUCUCAAAGUCUCAGAGUUAGUUAUGGAGUCCAAUUUCCUACCCAAAUGUGGGAAACCAUCCACGCGCUGUCUUUCCAGGGGGCCAUUAGCUUCUCCUUGAGCACUGUGAAUGCUGAUGAGCCAUACUUAGGAUGCUCAUUCCCAUCUCUCCCCAACAGCUCUAAUUAAAUAAUGAAAACAUGCAAUUAUCUUUUUAGUCAUGACUGUCUUGCCUUUUUAAUAAAAAUUUCAGUUCUUCCACAGGAACAAAGUAACUGCUCGAAAGGCAUUGAUUAUAUUUAUGCCUUAAAUUAUAAUUUCAUGACAUUAGUAGUUAAACCACUUCUCCCAUUUUUCUUCUAACUAUACCAUUCGUUGGAGGCAAUGGCUUGCAUCUGAAGGCUCAUGAUUACCGGAUGACAUCUAGAAUGGACUUUAACACAAAGUCAGUAAAGAAAACUGUGACAACUAAGAUCUGGGUCUUGGAUUGAGUUUGCCAUCCCUUCACGGAGAGGCAGCCAACUGGUUCUGACCACGUGUGGGGAACUGGUGAAGAUGUCGGGAACCUUUCAGGACUCAGACGGGCAGUUCAGAAUUGGGUGUGACAUGUGCCACACCAGCCACAUUAAGAACUUGGGUGCAGGAGGAGAAGUCAGAUGAACAACCAGUCCUGGGUCAAAUUCAGAACAUCUGACCUCUUCUAUGUAGAUGAUGUUUGGGAUUUACUGUGUUGGGGUCCAUAGGGAUAUGAGGUAAUGGGUGAGUCUUUUAGUCUCACACUCACAUGGGGAGAAAGAACUAGCUUUGAACUAAUAAAAAACAGGAAGAAGGGGGACAAAAAAAAUAUCCAGUGCCUCCAGGCACAAGGCUGAUUCUCAUCCUGUGCCUCAUAUUCUUUAGCAAUCUGCCUCCCCUGGGGGCUAGAGUCAUGCUGGCACUGAAGCCCCCUCAGAGUUGGUCCAGUUCCCGACACCAUGAUGCAGGGAUCAUGCGUUUCCAGAAGAAGAUGGCCAGUUUUUCUAGGAGAGUUAAGACAGGAAUUGUCACCUCUUGGUGAAUCUGGAUGAUCUAUAUCCCCUCUUAGAUGACACAUAGAAAUCAGUAGAUCUUGAUUUUACUAGGGAUGACCAGCAUAAGGAUGGCCAUCAACGCUCAGUGAAAUUAACUUGAAAAAGGAAAGGAAAAGUUGUUCUUCUUUAGUCAGAACCAGCCCCCUCUUUUAUGGACUUUAACCUGAGAGACAGGAUGCUGGACUUGUAGAUACAAGACACAGCACAGGGCAAACCUAGUGUCAAGAAAAGGCUUCCCUGUUCAUUUUGGGAGCAUUUUGACUGUGCGAAUUAGAUCCAUUCCUUCCCAGAAGUUGAAUGGGGACUUCUUUAGAAGAAGGGGUAACUCUUCAGAGUUACCUGGUGCUUCAUCAAACAAUCACCCCACUCCCACCUCUGGGCCUGGCUCAUCCACAGGGUGUGAAAGCCACAGGGCAAGAAGGGAGGUAAUGGACGAGCAUUACCAUGGGACCACUCGCUCACAGUGAUCUGUGCACUUCUGUCUUGUCAUUGUGUACCUUCGAUUUUCAUCUCUGGUUUAGCAAUUUGCACCCAGGAAGCCCUAAAGAAUCCAGGACGUGUCUUUCAUAUAUCACAGAUGCCCCCACACCUAGACCUUGGGACUCCAGAGUGGUGCUACCUUGUCAUCUCUGGGUCCCCUAGCUAUUGCAACUUGUAGUUGAUACUUUAUUUCAUAUCAUUCACUCAGAGCUUUAAAAAAAUCGAAAAAAAAAAAAGAGAAAAGAAA
Molecule: non-coding RNA, 12223 nt
Organism: Rattus norvegicus (Norway rat)
Lineage: Eukaryota; Metazoa; Chordata; Mammalia; Rodentia; Muridae
Source: RefSeq, a predicted model, not a curated record